CCAAGGAUGAAGGGACCCUAUGGGGACAUGGGGGCUGAGCGAGGACCCCGGGGCGCAGGAGAGGAGCCGGGGGGACGUGGUGGCCAUGGCCGAUGUCGUUGUCCCCGGGCACGGGGCGCCGUUCCGUGUCAUCAAGGGUGGGGACAUUGGGGACAUUGGGGACAUGAGUGGAGAGGAUGGGGAUGACAAUGACAUUGAGUCUUGAAGGACCCUAUGGGGACAUGGGGACAACCCCAGGGGAGAUGGGACCUCUGGAGGUGUCCCCAAGACCCCUGAGAUGUCCCCAAGACCCAUGAGAUGUCCCCAAGGCCUUGAAGACCCAAGAGAUGUCCCCAAGACUCAUCAGAUGUCCCCAAUGACUGAAGACCCAAGAGAUGUCCCCAAGACCCAAGAGAUGUCCCCAAGACCCAUGAGAUGUCCCCAAGACUCAUCAGAUGUCCCCAAUGAUUGAAGACCCAAGAGAUGUCCCCAAGACCCAAGAGGUGUCCCCAAGACCCGAGACACCCCCACAACGUCCCCACGAUGUCCCCAAGACCUAUUGAAACCCAACCCACCGAAUUGGGGUGGAGCCCCCCCGCGGGUUCUUUGGGGACGACUCGGGGCUGAACGGGGUUCGGCUGCUCUGCGGGGACACGGGGACG
RNAcentral lists this long non-coding RNA (641 nucleotides) under Columba livia (rock pigeon). RNAcentral's name for it is "partial uncharacterized LOC102085899". The record is from RNAcentral. Lineage: Eukaryota; Metazoa; Chordata; Aves; Columbiformes; Columbidae.